Molecule: ribosomal RNA, 305 nt
Filed under: uncultured bacterium
Lineage: Bacteria
Description: bacterial SSU rRNA
Rfam family: Bacterial small subunit ribosomal RNA
Source: RNAcentral
UUUUCCUACGGGGGGCAGCAGUGAGGAAUAUUGGUCAAUGGGCGCGAGCCUGAACCAGCCAAGUCGCGUGAGGGAUGACGGCCCUACGGGUUGUAAACCUCUUUUGUCGGGGAGCAAAUUCCGCCACGUGUGGCGGAGUCGAGAGUACCCGAAGAAAAAGCAUCGGCUAACUCCGUGCCAGCAGCCGCGGUAAUACGGAGGAUGCGAGCGUUAUCCGGAUUUAUUGGGUUUAAAGGGUGCGCAGGCGGUCUGUUAAGUCAGCGGUCAAAGCCCGGGGCUCAACCCCGGCCCGCCGUUGAAACUGG